GAAAAAGUUCCUAACUGUCAGGGUAGUUAAACACUGGAAUAGAUUGCCUAGGGAAGUUGUGGAAUCUCCAUCUCUGGAGAUAUUUAAGAGUAGGUUAGAUAAAUGUCUAUCAGGGAUGGUCUAGGCAGUAUUUGGUCCUGCCAUGAGGGCAGGGGACUGGACUCGAUGACCUCUCGAGGUCCCUUCCAGUCCUAGAGUCUAUGAGUCUA
This is a long non-coding RNA of Gopherus flavomarginatus (Mexican gopher tortoise), 209 nucleotides long. RefSeq lists it as uncharacterized. The transcript has 3 exons. The record is from RefSeq and is a predicted model, not a curated record. Lineage: Eukaryota; Metazoa; Chordata; Testudines; Testudinidae.